GUGAGUAACUAAAAAUUAUGAAAACAAAAAAAUUUGGCGGUACUUUAAGCUUUUCAGAGGAAUUUGCUCUGUAAUGGAUAAAUCGCCUAAAUCUUACUAAAAUUUGUUAAGUCAGUUUGUAUACCACUAUAAAAGUAAUAUUUAAUUAUUAUUACUUUAAUUUUUAAAAAAUAAAAAAUUAAAUUAAGUCAUGGUGCAGCAUAAAUUUUAGGAUGAAGUGAAUUACAUUUCUUUUUAGAAUUUUAAAAAAUUAAAGUAAAUUUUAGGAUUUGAAAGUAAAAAUUCAAUAAAAUGGUUUUUUGAA
This 304-nucleotide ribosomal RNA is filed under the name Amblyomma variegatum (tropical bont tick). RNAcentral's name for it is "partial small subunit ribosomal RNA". Lineage: Eukaryota; Metazoa; Arthropoda; Arachnida; Ixodida; Ixodidae. The record is from RNAcentral.